ACUCCUACGGGAGGCAGCAGUAGGGAAUCUUCCACAAUGGGCGCAAGCCUGAUGGAGCAACACCGCGUGAGUGAAGAAGGGUUUCGGCUCGUAAAGCUCUGUUGUUAGAGAAGAACGUGCGUGAGAGCAACUGUUCACGCAGUGACGGUAUCUAACCAGAAAGUCACGGCUAACUACGUGCCAGCAGCCGCGGUAAUACGUAGGUGGCAAGCGUUAUCCGGAUUUAUUGGGCGUAAAGCGAGCGCAGGCGGUCCUUUAAGUCUGAUGUGAAAGCCUUUGGCUUAACCAAAGAAGUGCAUCGGAAACUGUCAGACUUGAGUGCAGAAGAGGACAGUGGAACUCCAUGUGUAGCGGUGGAAUGCGUAGAUAUAUGGAAGAACACCAGUGGCGAAGGCGGCUGUCUGGUCUGCAACUGACGCUGAGGCUCGAAAGCAUGGGUAGCGAACAGGAUUAGAUACCCUGGUAGUCCAUGCCGUAAACGAUGAGUGCUAGGUGUUGGAGGGUUUCCGCCCUUCAGUGCCGCAGCUAACGCAUUAAGCACUCCGCCUGGGGAGUACGACCGCAAGGUUGAAACUCAAAGGAAUUGACGGGGGCCCGCACAAGCGGUGGAGCAUGUGGUUUAAUUCGAAG
Molecule: ribosomal RNA, 630 nt
Filed under: Limosilactobacillus mucosae
Lineage: Bacteria; Bacillati; Bacillota; Bacilli; Lactobacillales; Lactobacillaceae
Description: bacterial SSU rRNA
Rfam family: Bacterial small subunit ribosomal RNA
Source: RNAcentral